ACAAGAAGUGUUAUAAUGCUAGGUCCUAUUCCAGCAAUUGCGAAAUCUCUAGUUUUUAUAUGACCUGCUGUAAUAGCAAUUGUAUUUGGUGGAGUGCCUACUGGUAGAUGAAAUGAAAAAGAACAACAUAAAGAGGCUGGCAGCAUCAAAUAUAGUGGAUGUAUUCGUAAAGCAAUAGACUGAAACAACAUAUAAAUAUAUAAUAAAUUAAAUAUAAUUGAAAAAUAAAUUAAUGACUAGAAAAAAGAAAUUUAUUAACUGAAAUUUCUUACCAUUUCUGCCAAAACAGUUAAAGCAUUUCCUAGAAUAGAAGAAAGAUUGGAAGUGGUACUUCCUGCUGAGAUGGCAAAUCCACCACCCAAAACUAAAAUCAAACUCCAAUGCAUCUUCGUAUUAAUCAUUUUCCAAGUAAUCAUGCUAGGCGAUGGUUUGGUUGGACGAUUAACAGGAUCCGCGUCGAAUGAUCGAAGAAAAUCCAGUUUAGAUGGUAAUAUGAAGAAAAGAAGAGUAACACCAGCGGCUGCCGUUGAAUCUUUAACGUGUCUAUAAAGAACUAGAUUGUUCGCACAUAUGUCGUUGAAAUACAUUUUUAUAGUAAAAUACUAUUAUGUAGCAGAAGGCUAUAAGAAUGAUGAAA
Molecule: long non-coding RNA, 637 nt
Organism: Apis florea (little honeybee)
Lineage: Eukaryota; Metazoa; Arthropoda; Insecta; Hymenoptera; Apidae
Source: RefSeq, a predicted model, not a curated record